RNAcentral lists this ribosomal RNA (618 nucleotides) under Leuconostoc lactis. Its description in RNAcentral is "bacterial SSU rRNA". It matches the Rfam family "Bacterial small subunit ribosomal RNA", at positions 63 to 667 of the family's 1533-position model. The record is from RNAcentral. Lineage: Bacteria; Bacillati; Bacillota; Bacilli; Lactobacillales; Lactobacillaceae.
CGCGCAGCGAAAGGUGCUUGCACCUUUCAAGCGAGUGGCGAACGGGUGAGUAACACGUGGAUAACCUGCCUCAAGGCUGGGGAUAACAUUUGGAAACAGAUGCUAAUACCGAAUAAAACUUAGUAUCGCAUGAUACAAAGUUGAAAGGCGCUACGGCGUCACCUAGAGAUGGGUCCGCGGUGCAUUAGUUAGUUGGUGGGGUAAAGGCCUACCAAGACAAUGAUGCAUAGCCGAGUUGAGAGACUGAUCGGCCACAUUGGGACUGAGACACGGCCCAAACUCCUACGGGAGGCUGCAGUAGGGAAUCUUCCACAAUGGGCGAAAGCCUGAUGGAGCAACGCCGCGUGUGUGAUGAAGGCUUUAGGGUCGUAAAGCACUGUUGUAUGGGAAGAAAUGCUAGAAUAGGGAAUGAUUCUAGUUCGACGGUACCAUACCAGAAAGGGACGGCUAAAUACGUGCCAGCAGCCGCGGUAAUACGUAUGUCCCGAGCGUUAUCCGGAUUUAUUGGGCGUAAAGCGAGCGCAGACGGUUGAUUAAGUCUGAUGUGAAAGCCCGGAGCUCAACUCCGGAAUGGCAUUGGAAACUGGUUAACUUGAGUGUUGUAGAGGUAAGUGGAAC